This 2887-nucleotide ribosomal RNA is filed under the name Clostridioides difficile. RNAcentral's name for it is "bacterial LSU rRNA". It matches the Rfam family "Bacterial large subunit ribosomal RNA". The record is from RNAcentral. Lineage: Bacteria; Bacillati; Bacillota; Clostridia; Peptostreptococcales; Peptostreptococcaceae.
UUAAGGGUGCAGGGCGGAUGCCUUGGCACUAGGAGCCGAUGAAGGACGUGAUAAGCUGCGAUAAGCUUCGGGGAGUUGCACGUAAACUUUGAUCCGAAGAUUUCCGAAUGAGGAAACUCACUUAGAGUAAUGUCUAAGUAUCAUUAAGUGAAUACAUAGCUUAAUGAGGGGAACUCAGGGAACUGAAACAUCUAAGUACCUGAAGGAAGAGAAAGAAAUUCGAUUCCGUAAGUAGCGGCGAGCGAACGCGGAUUAGCCCAAACCAAUAAAGUUUUCUUUAUUGGGGUUGCGGACAUAUCAUAACGAAGAGGUAUCGUAAUUGAAGAGGUUUGGAAAGACCCACCACAGAAGGUAAUAGUCCUGUAUGUUAAACGAGAAGACUUCAGAUAUGAUCCAGAGUACCACGGGACACGUGAAACCCUGUGGGAAGCAGGAGGGACCACCCUCCAAGGCUAAAUACUACCUAGUGACCGAUAGCGUAUAGUACCGUGAGGGAAAGGUGAAAAGAACCCCGGGAGGGGAGUGAAAUAGAACCUGAAACCCUGCACUUACAAGCUGUGGAAGCACAUUUCUUGUGUGACCGCGUACUUUUUGUAGAACGGGCCAACGAGUUACGUUAAGUAGCAAGGUUAAGCACUUAAGGUGCGGAGCCGUAGCGAAAGCGAGUUUUAACUGAGCGUUCAGUUACUUGACGUAGACCCGAAACCGGGCGACCUACCCAUGAGCAGGAUGAAGCGAAAGUAAAAUUUCGUGGAGGUCCGAACCCACGAGCGUUGAAAAGCUCGGGGAUGACUUGUGGGUAGCGGUGAAAUUCCAAUCGAGCCCGGAGAUAGCUGGUUCUCCCCGAAAUAGCUUUAGGGCUAGCCUCAAGGUGAGAGAUACGGAGGUAGAGCACUGAAUGUCCUAGGGGGUAUUGCACCUACCGAAGACUAUCAAACUCCGAAUGCCGUCAUCUUAUACUUGGGAGUCAGACUGUGGGUGAUAAGAUUCAUAGUCGAAAGGGCAACAGCCCAGAUCGUCAGCUAAGGUCCCUAAAUGUAAGUUAAGUGGUAAAGGAUGUGGGAUUGCACAGACAACCAGGAUGUUGGCUUAGAAGCAGCCACUCAUUCAAAGAGUGCGUAAUAGCUCACUGGUCGAGUGAUCCUGCGCCGAAGAUUUCCGGGGCUAAAACUUACUACCGAAGCUACGGCAUCAUUAUGAUGGGUAGGGGAGCUUCCCAUACGGGUUGAAGCAUGACCGUAAGGACAUGUGGACAGUAUGGGAGUGAGAAUGUUGGCAUGAGUAGCGAGAUGUGGGUGAGAAUCCCACAGGCCGUAAACCCAAGGUUUCCAGGGGAAGGUUCGUCCGCCCUGGGUUAGUCGGGACCUAAGCUGAGGCCGAAAGGCGUAGGUGAUGGACAACAGGUUGAUAUUCCUGUACUACCGAUAACCGUUUGAGAGAAGGGAUGACACAGUAGGAUAAGCUAAGCACACUGUUGGUUAUGUGUGCCCAAGCAUUGAGGCAGUCAAAGCAGGCAAAUCCGCUUUGAUAAUGCUGGGAUGUGAUGGGGAGCGAAAUUUAGUAGCGAAGUAGCUGAUUUCACACUGUCAAGAAAAGUCUCUAUCGAGGUUAAAGGUACCCGUACCGCAAACCGACACAGGUGGGUGAGGAGAGUAUCCUAAGGCCAGCGAGAGAACUGUUGUUAAGGAACUCGGCAAAAUGACCCCGUAACUUAGGGAUAAGGGGUGCCACCAUCCGGUGGCCGCAGAGAAUAGGCCCAAGCGACUGUUUACCAAAAACAUAGGUUUCUGCUAAGUCGCAAGACGAUGUAUAGGAGCUGACGCCUGCCCGGUGCUGGAAGGUUAAGGGGAUCUGUUAGAGCAAUCGAAGCAGUGAACUUAAGCCCCAGUAAACGGCGGCCGUAACUAUAACGGUCCUAAGGUAGCGAAAUUCCUUGUCGGGUAAGUUCCGACCCGCACGAAAGGCGUAACGAUUUGGGCACUGUCUCAACAACAGACUCGGUGAAAUUGUAAUUCCGGUGAAGAUGCCGGAUACCUGCGACAGGACGGAAAGACCCCAUGGAGCUUUACUGUAGCUUGACAUUGGGUCUUGGUACUACAUGUACAGGAUAGGUGGGAGGCUUUGAAACCAGGACGCCAGUUUUGGCGGAGCCAUCCUUGGGAUACCACCCUUGUAGUACUGGGACUCUAACCAUAGGCCAUGAAUCUGGUCUUGGGACACUGUCAGGUGGGCAGUUUGACUGGGGCGGUCGCCUCCCAAAAGGUAACGGAGGCGCUCAAAGGUUCUCUCAGUACGGUCGGAAAUCGUACGUAGAGUGUAAAGGCAAAAGAGAGCUUGAUUGCAAGACAUACAGGUCGAGCAAGGAUGAAAAUCGGACUUAGUGAUCCGGUGGUUCUGCGUGGAAGGGCCAUCGCUCAACGGAUAAAAGCUACCCUGGGGAUAACAGGCUUAUCUCCCCCAAGAGUCCACAUCGACGGGGAGGUUUGGCACCUCGAUGUCGGCUCAUCACAUCCUGGGGCUGUAGUAGGUCCCAAGGGUUGGGCUGUUCGCCCAUUAAAGUGGUACGCGAGCUGGGUUCAGAACGUCGUGAGACAGUUCGGUCCCUAUCCGUCGCAGGCGUAGGAAAUUUGAGAAGACCUGUCCUUAGUACGAGAGGACCGGGAUGGACGUACCUCUGGUGUACCAGUUGUUCUGCCAAGGGCAUGGCUGGGUAGCUAUGUACGGAAUGGAUAAGCGCUGAAAGCAUCUAAGCGCGAAGCCAACUUCAAGAUAAGAUUUCCCACCGCAAGGGUAAGACCCCAGAAAGACUAUCUGGUUGAUAGGUCGAAGGUGUAAGUGCAGCAAUGUAUUUAGCUUAUCGAUACUAAUAGGUCGAGGACUUGACCAA